ACUGCUCCUAAUCCCCAUCGCGGUGAGAUUGCCCAAACUCCGGGCUCCCAGACCCUCGAUGGCGACGGAUUCAGCAACCUCCCCAGCCCCAAAACAAAUAUGGCACAACUUACGUGUUCUCGACUAGAAGGCCGAAACCGCGCGGCGAGGCCUAUUUAUAUGCCGCGCAUCUCGCGAGAACUACUUCCUCGAGCGAUACAUACAUGUUUCUCCGCCCCGCCCUUAACUAGAGCUAAUGCGCAGCCGUAAGAGGCUUGUUAUGUGUUAUGUUGGAGGAGGUAGCCCCGGAUCGAGCAUGAUUAAAAACUCAGGUUUAUAAAAGUUAGGACGGGAGGAAGGAAGUUGCAGUUUCGCAGGCGCAAGGCCCCAUCUGCAUUGGCAUGCCACUGGUUUCUGAAGAUGCACCUUUUUACACACAACUGUUCCCUUCAUCUCACAACCCAAGGCUCCUGUUUUAAUUGCUUUGUUUUAAUGGAAUUGUGUGGUUUUUGCAUAUUUUAAUUAUGAAUGUUUUAUAUGUUAAUGUUGGGGGUUAUAAGUUCUUAUACUUGUACAAUGCUUAGGGUCCUAUUUUGGCUGCCUGCAGCAGAAUCUUAGAUGUCCAUACACGUUGCACUUCAAAAGAAGAUGGUUGCUGUGUGGUCAACAAUUGCCAGCAGCGAUGGUGGCAGGCUUCAAAGUGAAGAAAAUUAGCCAUUUCUUGUUCACAAAGUCAUUUUUGACUGACCCUGCUUGGAGUGAUGUUGGAAUAUGUAUGUGCUUUUUUGUUUGCCUAGAGAGUGAAAAUGUUAGUUUGGGGCAUAUAGUAUGCUGGCUUUAGGUCAUGAGACAGAUAUAAUAAACAUUGUUUUUUAUACAUA
Molecule: long non-coding RNA, 860 nt
Organism: Podarcis raffonei (Aeolian wall lizard)
Lineage: Eukaryota; Metazoa; Chordata; Lepidosauria; Squamata; Lacertidae
Exons: 2
Source: RefSeq, a predicted model, not a curated record